GAUGAACGCUAGCUACAGGCUUAACACAUGCAAGUCGAGGGGUAACGAGAGGAAAGCUUGCUUUCCUUGUCGACGACCGGCGCACGGGUGAGUAACGCGUAUCCAACCUGCCCCCAACUAGGGAAUAACCUUGCGAAAGUAAGACUAAUACCCUAUAAUUUCCUCAGAUGUCAUCUGACGAGGAAUAAAGAUUUAUCGGUUGUGGAUGGGGAUGCGUCUGAUUAGCUUGUUGGCGGGGUAACGGCCCACCAAGGCAACGAUCAGUAGGGGUUCUGAGAGGAAGGUACACCACAUUGGAACUGAGACACGGUCCAAACUCCUACGGGAGGCAGCAGUGAGGAAUAUUGGUUAAUGGGCGGAAGCCUGAACCAGCCAAGUAGCGUGCAGGAUGACGGCCCUAUGGGUUGUAAACUGCUUUUAUACAGGAAUAAAGUUAGCCACGUGUGGUUAUUUGUAGGUACUGUAUGAAUAAGGACCGGCUAAUUCCGUGCCAGCCGCCGCCGUAA
Molecule: ribosomal RNA, 506 nt
Filed under: uncultured bacterium
Lineage: Bacteria
Description: partial 16S ribosomal RNA
Rfam family: Bacterial small subunit ribosomal RNA
Source: RNAcentral